GCGUGAUACCGGGUUGCGGACGGCUUCGGUGGGGGGGCAGAAAGGGGGCUCAAUGUUCAAUAUACCUGUAAUUGUCCUGUUUCUUUACCGUUGCUUUAAAUGUAGACGAUUUUUGUGUCUACACAGUAGGCUGAGAUGAAAAGCAUUUUAAUUGCUGAUGUUUGUUAAGAAUAUGAGAUAAUCUUUCACUCUUUUCUCUGUCUAUCACUUCUCUCCCUCUAAUGCAGAAUAUCGGAUUCCUGUCAGGUGGAAGCAUCUUUUCAGCCUCAAACUUGUCAUAGCAGCUGUUACGGUCGGACACAAACAAAGAGAAACCUUAACCAUAACUAUCGCACAUACCUGAAAUCCUACAGUUCAUCAUCUGAUGAGCUGACUGUCAAUUCCGUUAAAAGAAAGUCCAGAUGGAUGCAAAGAACAUAAAGAAACCCAGGCGAGCUGAGUCUAACCAUUAACCCUCGCUACCUCUCAACGAGACCCGAAAGUCCAUGGAGCAAGAGAGAAUUGUCCUCUUGUCUGAGGUAAAGAAAAAGAACAAUUCGGGAGAAGACAAACCUGCUGCCAACAGUACAAGAGGAUACUGAUAUCGCAACAAAGAGGGAGAUUGCACUCAAAUUUCUCAUUCUUAACAUCGGAGAAUCAGUGGAGGACCUCAUCAAAGAUUUCCUGGCGUCGGAGAAGGAAGAAGCUGAAAUGGUUCUCCAGCAGGAAACCAUGGCAGUCUUUGUCAUCAGUGAUGCACAAGCCUUACCUCAAGACAUUGGCAUCUUACUUGAGGGACAGGUUCAGAGCGAGUUGCCUUCUGUGCAAGUGCUGUUGCCAUUCUAAUGGGCCUCCUUUAUGCUCUCAAUCUGGAUUAUCCCAAAACUUUGAAACUGACAUUUGAAUAUAUCCAGAAAGUCCUCAUGGAGCUGGACCCGAAAGGCACGACCAACAAAGUCAAGAGACUGUAUGACCAGCUCUACAAUAGAGCUUAGUUCAGAUUUACACAAACAUCCCAGUUGACCAAGUAAAUGAUAUCAUGUUUGAGUGGCUGCCUGUUUUGGAAUUAUAAAUACUGAGUUCAGUAUUUCAGUAGUAGAAAUUGUAAAGUAUAAAAAAACAUGCAAAUUGUAUGUGAAAUUACUGUGGAAACAGAUUGAACACUGCACUGCAAUGUGUAUAUAUUUUUUGUAAUAAUAUACUAUUUUGUAAUAAUAUCCAUAUUAUGUUGGAAUGCCAGCUCUAAGUUACAGUUUAAGUUACAAAUCUAACCUUGAUAAAUGGAUCUGUGGAAAUAAUGCCUGAUGUGACGGAGGCUAAUGAAUAUUGAUAUAAUGACAAUUAUUGAUGUAGUCCAUAUGUCCAUAUUUUUUAAUUUAAUAUCUUUUUGAUUUGAUAAAAUUAAUAAUUUCUAAUGCAUAUUGUUUCUUAAAUGAGAAACAAUUGUUUUAUUCGAUUUUUAUCUUUUAAAUUGGAUACAACUAAUUAUAUCGGAUGCAUAUGACUUAAAUGAGAAAAUUGUUUGAUUACAUUUUUUUCUUUUUGAUUGGAUAAAACUAAUUAUUUCUGAUAGAUAUUUCUUAAAUGAGAAACAAUUGUUGGAGUAAAUUAAUAUUUUUUUAUUAAGGAUUUAACAUACAAUUCAAAUGUAUUAACCUCAUUCAAAGAAUAAAAUUAUACUUGGUUCCAA
This is a long non-coding RNA of Gadus morhua (Atlantic cod), 1669 nucleotides long. RefSeq lists it as uncharacterized. The transcript is spliced from 3 exons. NCBI's taxonomy places the organism in Eukaryota, Metazoa, Chordata, Actinopteri, Gadiformes, Gadidae. The record is from RefSeq and is a predicted model, not a curated record.